Populus trichocarpa (black cottonwood) is the source of this 2893-nucleotide long non-coding RNA. RefSeq lists it as uncharacterized. The transcript has 3 exons. The record is from RefSeq and is a predicted model, not a curated record. NCBI's taxonomy places the organism in Eukaryota, Viridiplantae, Streptophyta, Magnoliopsida, Malpighiales, Salicaceae.
AGCUAUGACCUUCUCCACUCUUAACUUUUAACUCGUGUAAAAGGGUUUUUGAACAGGUUUUUCCUACAUAUACUAAACCAGGCAAUAGAGUAUGCUUAAUUAUACUGUUGUAGAUGUUACUGUUCAAGAUAGCAAAAUAAAAUAAAAUAAAAAAUAAUACACAUGAAGAGGUAUAAAUUUAAUGAGUAAUUGCAUGGGAUGACAGAGAUUACGUUUUAAAAUAGUUUUUACUGAAAAUAUUAUUUUUAAAAACGAUUCAAAAACAAUUUUAAGUAUAGAAAUUAUUUUACAUGGUUCAAAAAGUUUUAAAAAAUAAUUGAAGUAUAGUUACAAAAAUUUAACUAAAUAAUCAUCCCACCAAGAUACAAUGACCAUCACUGCUGGCCUGCAUCAAUGUUUUCACCAGCUACAGAUUGUUGUCCCAUAUCUCCACCAGCCCCAUACUGUUAGGAACAAAGUGAAAGGCACAAAAAGUGAAAGGCUGUAGUGUUGAGUGUUUGAACAAUUACCUUAAUCCUCUACCCAGCAGCAGGAAUGAAUUUUAUCACCGACAUAUUAAACUGUUUCUCUUGACAAGACCUGGUUUAGCCUCAAAUCUAUAGCAUAGCUGCUCCUAUUAUAGCUGUGAAACUACAAGUAAUGCUAUUGAUUCUUUUAUGGAUAGUUUGCUAAUGAUGUUGGGUACUGAAUCUUGACUUGAAUUUGCCAUCUUUUUGUGUUCAAAGUUGUAACUUUUCUUUAGAAGGAAACUAUUUUUUUAUAAUAUAUAUAUUUUAUAAAUAAUUAAGUUUAAAAGAUUAUUUCUUUAUCUCCGCAUUAAAAAGAAAUUUUUUUUUUAACUUAAAGUAUUUAAACAAAAAGAAGAUUUUUAUUCCACAUAAAAAAUAUAAUUUUUAUUUUGUGUGAAUUUAGAGUAUAUAUAUUAAUACCAUUAAUAUAUUCUAUGUUUAUAAAAAGAAAAUUGUAUUUUUUCAACGUAGAAUAAAUUUGUUUUUUGAUCUAAUAAGCUUCGAAUUUUAUAUUGAUAUUUUUUUAAACUGAGAUAAAAAAAUAUUUUUAGUUUAAUAAGUUUUUAAUUUUAUAUUAAAAAAAUAAAAUAUUUUUUUUAUAGUAAAUUCUAAUAUAAACGAGUAACUAAUAAAAAAAGAAGAUGGUAGCCUUGUGCGCUCGACGUCGGGUCAAGCAAUAGAAAAACAUUUAAUUGUUUUUUGAACCUUUUGUCUGUCUUUGGUAGUGAUUUGUUUCUGCGUUGAAUUUCCCUCACUAUUUUGAUCUUUAAGCUCUUACAGAUGAGACUGUUCCAAGGUGUUUUUGGACAAUCGAUACUCUUAUCGUUCACUUCAAAGUUCAAACCAUCUGGUUUCUACAAAAGACUCCCCGACACAUAAUGCAUGACAAACCAUGCAAGACUAGUCAAAAAGCCGGCACCAUCACCCACAAAAGGUGACCCGCCAAAUCUCACUUACAGGCUAAAGCAGCAUUCAUGGCAUUAUCCAUGAGGGUAGAGGAGCUAGUGGCAGUCAGCGAAUACAAAAGAAAGCAGCACUAGCACAUUUGAAGAUGCUCACAUUUUCCGCAACUCUCUUUCAGCCACAGCCUCCCCCAGGUAAUCAACAUGACCACUUGGUUUCAGAACUGCAAGCUAUUAGCAGCAAAACUAAUUAACUCACAUUUACCUAGCUGCAAGCUAUUCAGCAGCGAAACUAAGCAUGUUGAGAUGCGACACAUGCUUUUUCAUCUUUAACUCAGAUUUACCUUUCAAUAACACGUCGGCUAUUUCUAAAUUCACCAGGAUCCAUGCCCGUAUUGCAUUCAUUCGAUCUUCCUCCUUGCUGUUUUCUAAAUCCUUCUUGUUUUGGUCCAUUAAAAUUCCGUGAAUCACCACCUGCACCAUUCAUUUUCCACCCAGAACAGUCAGUGCCUUGAAAUCCACUAUUUUUACCAUGGGCACCAGGUGACGAUCUACCAAAAUCAUCACCCCAAGACUUUCUUCUAUCACCCAUCUUACCCUUGGAUCUCAUCUCAUUGUUUCUCACAAAGUCAUGAUCACGACCCCUAAAAUGGUUACCUCUUCUACCAGAUUCCAAUUUGUUACCUCCACUUCUAUUUCUCCAAGAACGUCGAUGAUUGUUAUCAGAUUCUGAACCAGAAAAGGAAGCAUCAUCCAAAUCAGAAUUUCUCUCAAAAUUCCUUCUACCUGAACCCUUUCUACCCUGUCUCCUAUGGCUGGAGCCAGAAUCAUCAUCCACAUCAGAAUCAAGCUCAAGUUCUUCAUCUGACCCAAAACUUAAUCCCUUGGAAGGACCUGUUGGAACUCCACCUCUAUUUUUGUUUCUAAUAUCAGCGACAUGACUGGAUUUCCAUUUUGGAUGAACAGAGCGCUCUUCAUCUGAAUCGAUAUCCAGUUCGUCAUCAGAGCCAGAGAAAGCUCUUCUGUGAUGCUUGGGCUUUGAUGGCUUAACAGAAGGACUUGUCCUGAGUCGUAUGCCCAAGUUGUAAUCAGAACCUCCAUCUCCUUCCAAAUCAGAAAUCCCUUGGUCAGAAAAAUUGUUUUGAGAAGCCUUCCGUGCAGGUUUAUCAUUUUGGGUAUCUAGUUCAUAACUGUCAAUAUCAUCUUCAUCAUCAAAAUCAUCAAACCCCCUUCCAAAUCCAUCAUGCUCAGGAACAGAAUAUGCCCUUGAAAUUCUUCUGGGUCCACUGAAAUCAUCUGUAUUCUGUCCAGAAUUUCCUUCCUGAGUUUGAAUCCCCAGAGGCACUGGAAACUUCUGGGUGGCUGACAAUCUUCUCCGACCUUGUUCUGCUACCAUGCUGCCUUUCUUCCAUUUUAUUUUCCAUGAAUGUAUCUGGUGGACGCUUGCAAUCACAAUGGAAACAAGCCAUGUUUCUCCUAUAA